RNAcentral lists this long non-coding RNA (1399 nucleotides) under Oncorhynchus mykiss (rainbow trout). RNAcentral describes it as "lncRNA (ENSOMYG00000018369.2)". The record is from RNAcentral. Lineage: Eukaryota; Metazoa; Chordata; Actinopteri; Salmoniformes; Salmonidae.
AAAUCAUGUCAGUACAAUUUCUGGUAAAGGACACUGAUAAUUUGCUGAUUUCUAAACCCUGUGACGGUUUCGUAUGGGCUGUCUGAUCUUGGCGUGAUAAAGUUCGAUAUUAAACAGCAGCAGGUCAGAGCAGCUGGGAUCAAAUCCUAUUUUCCUACAGCAGCAUCAGUGUGAAAGUACAAGUAUGAGUCAGGCAAGGACAAUGAGUUUGGAAGAGCAAAUCAGGAGCCUCUCACCAGUUGCAGCACAUGCUCUGGCAAUUGCUGAAAUUACAGAUGACAUUGACAUUCAAGAGUUAACAAGAGCAGAUCUGAACGAACUUCUGCCAGGCCUUCAACAUUUAAAACUUAGAAAGAAGAUCAGUGAACUUAUAAAUACAUCUAAACAGAACACAGCUAAACCUAUUGCUUUAGUUCUUAACAAGCUAAGGGAAUUCCUUCCGGUUGAUGUCAUGGAGAAUGCACUUGUUCCCGGGGGAGUGUUACAUGGCUACUUCCCUAUUCUUAGAGAUUUGGAGAAGCAGCUGGCCGAAGCCCUCUACUUCAUUCAGGCACACGUUGGUUUGCUCGAGAGCUACAUUGGAGAAGAGUCCAUGGAGGCUCAGAGCAGUGCUGCAUCUCCAUCAGUUGACUCUGCUACAGCAGGAAACCAACCAUCAAAUGUUGAGGUCCAGAAAACAUCUGUUAAUCGCACCUCAGGAUCAUCAGCCUUAUGUGCCGCUGACAGCCAGCCCAAACAAUGCAGAACAGAAGUGUCUGGUGCGCCGAACAGACCCACCUUCAAAGAAACUCAAGAUGAGACCUCAAUGUCACACUCUCAUACUUCAGGAGCAGCUGGUGCUGACACCCAUUUUCAAAAAAGUAUAACGGAUCCUUCUCAAAUUUCCACCGGUAGUGGGCUGCACGAGCCACGAUGCAAACAAGGAGAUAAGAUGUCCUCAUCUUGGUGGAAUUUUAGAGCAACUGAACCUCUAAAUAAGAAACAAGCAGUUAAAGUCCAUUCACAAGUCUGUGGAAAAACCCUGGACACUCACCUUGCACUCAUGAAACAAGUGGAUGAUCUGGCAGUAGGACUAAAGCGAGAGGAGACCAGACCAGAAGACUGCCAAGUCAUAAUAGCCUUCUGUCCUAUUACAUCUCGUGUGGGAACAGACAUUGAUGCCGCCAUGAGCAAAGUUCAAAGUAACAAAGAUGUCAUUCUAGUGGUGAUGCACCAUACUUUUGAUCACUGCUUUGUCACAAGCCAGAGAUCUGCAUCUCACUACAUAAACGUAGUGGAGGAAGUUAAUGUUCUCUUCCAUGACUCUAUGGGACUUCUGCGUUGUGAAACAAAUGAUAAAGCAGUGACUCUCAUACACAAGGCCUUACAGAAAUACAGCAGCACUACUUACAAACGUUAA